AGCCUUUGAAAUUCGGCAGGGACCGCUUAUAUUGGCUCGCGUCGGCGCAAGCCGACUAUGGCGAUAAAUGGCCUACGGAAUAAGCCUAUCGGACCCGGGGGCGGUACCCGGCGCCUCCACCAUCAACGGCCCAGGGCAGAGUGCCUGGCAAAGCCGGAUUCCCUGCAAGGGGCCGCUGUUGAUGGGGGCGAAAUAGGAUCGACGAGGGUGUAAAGGUAGAACUUUCGCUCGGUAUGGUACCACCGUUAUCGGACCAAAACUUGUAGUUGCGAAUGACAACUAUGCUGAGGCUCGUCUCGCUGCGUAAUGCAGCCUGACUGCUUCGAUUCAAGCCCUGGCGGUUAGCCCCGUCAGGCGGGGUCCGGAGGCACCUGGCAACAGAAGCCUCCAUU
Molecule: transfer-messenger RNA, 392 nt
Filed under: Afifella marina
Lineage: Bacteria; Pseudomonadati; Pseudomonadota; Alphaproteobacteria; Hyphomicrobiales; Afifellaceae
Also listed under: 1 other name
Rfam family: Alphaproteobacteria transfer-messenger RNA
About the family: Bacterial tmRNA, also known as 10Sa RNA or SsrA, is named for its dual tRNA and mRNA-like properties. Its role is to liberate the mRNA from a stalled ribosome. To accomplish this part of the tmRNA is used as a reading frame that ends in a translation stop signal.
Source: RNAcentral